AGAGUUUGAUCCUGGCUCAGGAUGAACGCUAGCGGCAGGCCUAAUACAUGCAAGCCGAACGGCAAGUUGAGUAGCAAUACUUGACCUAGAGUGGCGUAAGGGUGCGUAACACGUAUGCAAUCUGCCCACAACAGGAGGAUAGCUCCCCGAAAGGGGAAUUAAUACUCCAUAAGAUCACGCGAGGGCAUCUGAGAGUGAUUAAACUACAAGGGGUUGUGGAUGAGCAUGCGGUUGAUUAGCUAGUUGGUAAGGUAACGGCUUACCAAGGCGAUGAUCAAUAGGGGAGCUGAGAGGUUUAUCCCCCACACUGGCACUGAGAUACGGGCCAGACUCCUACGGGAGGCAGCAGUAGGGAAUAUUGGACAAUGGGCGAGAGCCUGAUCCAGCCAUGCCGCGUGCAGGAAGAAGGCCUUCUGGGUUGUAAACUGCUUUUACCAGGGGAUAAAAAGGCCAUGCGUGGCAAAUUGAAGGUACCUGGUGAAUAAGCCACGGCUAACUACGUGCCAGCAGCCGCGGUAAUACGUAGGUGGCAAGCGUUGUCCGGAUUUAUUGGGUUUAAAGGGUGCGUAGGCGGUUCAAUAAGUCAGUGGUGAAAUACGGCAGCUCAACUGUCGAGGUGCCAUUGAUACUGUAGAACUUGAGUACAGACGAGGUAGGCGGAAUUGACGGUGUAGCGGUGAAAUGCUUAGAUAUCGUCAAGAACACCGAUAGCGAAGGCAGCUUACUAGGCUGUAACUGACGCUGAGGCACGAAAGUGUGGGGAUCAAACAGGAUUAGAUACCCUAGUAGUCC
Molecule: ribosomal RNA, 792 nt
Filed under: uncultured bacterium
Lineage: Bacteria
Description: bacterial SSU rRNA
Rfam family: Bacterial small subunit ribosomal RNA
Source: RNAcentral